This 519-nucleotide ribosomal RNA is filed under the name uncultured bacterium. RNAcentral's name for it is "partial 16S ribosomal RNA". It matches the Rfam family "Bacterial small subunit ribosomal RNA", at positions 28 to 507 of the family's 1533-position model. The record is from RNAcentral.
GACGAACGCUGGCGGCGUGCCUAAUACAUGCAAGUCGAGCGAGCUUGCCUAGAUGAAUUUGGUGCUUGCACCAGAUGAAACUAGAUACAAGCGAGCGGCGGACGGGUGAGUAACACGUGGGUAACCUGCCCAAGAGACUGGGAUAACACCUGGAAACAGAUGCUAAUACCGGAUAACAACACUAGACGCAUGUCUAGAGUUUAAAAGAUGGUUCUGCUAUCACUCUUGGAUGGACCUGCGGUGCAUUAGCUAGUUGGUAAGGCAACGGCUUACCAAGGCAAUGAUGCAUAGCCGAGUUGAGAGACUGAUCGGCCACAUUGGGACUGAGACACGGCCCAAACUCCUACGGGAGGCAGCAGUAGGGAAUCUUCCACAAUGGACGAAAGUCUGAUGGAGCAACGCCGCGUGAGUGAAGAAGGGUUUCGGCUCGUAAAGCUCUGUUGGUAGUGAAGAAAGAUAGAGGUAGUAACUGGCCUUUAUUUGACGGUAAUUACUUAGAAAGUCACGGCUAACUACGUG